AAGAAUUUAGUUAAAUAAUAACAUUAGUAUGUCAUACUGAAAUUACAUCCUAUGUAAUUCUUU
Molecule: transfer RNA, 63 nt
Filed under: Coleoptera sp. 22 KM-2017
Lineage: Eukaryota; Metazoa; Arthropoda; Insecta; Coleoptera
Description: tRNA-Asp
Source: RNAcentral